AUGCAGUUGACCAGUGCCAAAUAGGAGGAAAUGCGCCUCCUGCAU
Non-coding RNA from Schistosoma curassoni, 45 nucleotides. The record is from Rfam. Lineage: Eukaryota; Metazoa; Platyhelminthes; Trematoda; Strigeidida; Schistosomatidae.